UUGUGCAUAUAGUAAGCACUGGGGGGUCCACCGUUUGUGCAUAUAGCAAGCAAGCACCGGCAGCCGCCCAAGUUUUGCCAUUGGGGAGCCAAACAUCAAACUCAGCAGUUUGGCACGUGAGUGUUCUCUCAGGAAACUGGCAACAAUGCACAUGAUCACUGCCACUUUCCACAGAAAGUUUCUGUCAGCACCAGCAGGCAUCUCCUGUCACAAGUUAAAGCUACUCAGCAAAAAGGAUUUUCACUUACUUCUAAGGUUCUCGCUCUCCUGAUGUACACACAAGCAUGCAGAAAAAAAGAAAAAAAGGGUGGUCUCGAGGUGUUCCAGCUGGCAACACACUGUAGUUGAAUUUGCCACAGUGCCAUCAGAGAACAUGCUUCAGCCUCUAAAGCACGUUCAAUAAAGGCUCCAUAAGAGCAGAGCCGAGUUCAGUCAUUAUUUCUCUUUCCUCCAAGCCAUGAGAUAGUUUCAUGUUCUGUUCCUGUAGUGGCGGUGGAAAUUUUCUAUAUCAGCUGCCUUGCACGUUUUGGGAUGCAUGCUGGCAAGAAAGCUUAUCUCCAUGGAUCAAUGGGAUUAAAACAGGGGACACAAAUGUAUAGAUAUAUGAGGGGCACAAAACUUGUAAGUGAUAUUAUAUUGUAUAAUGCUUCAACAGGCUAUUUACAGAAUAUAUAAAAAUAUGAUAAACUGUCAUAUAAGCUGUCAUAUCUAAUAUAAAAUAAAGCAACCUC
Molecule: long non-coding RNA, 731 nt
Organism: Sardina pilchardus (European sardine)
Lineage: Eukaryota; Metazoa; Chordata; Actinopteri; Clupeiformes; Clupeidae
Exons: 3
Source: RefSeq, a predicted model, not a curated record